Molecule: long non-coding RNA, 276 nt
Organism: Peromyscus leucopus (white-footed mouse)
Lineage: Eukaryota; Metazoa; Chordata; Mammalia; Rodentia; Cricetidae
Exons: 3
Source: RefSeq, a predicted model, not a curated record
CCGUGCCCGGCCCCAGCCGAGGAGACAGGUAUAUGCUGGUCACUUUCGAAGAGCCGCCCUAUGCUAUCAAGGCUGGAUGGAAGGAAAAUCAUGCAACGUUUAUGAAUGAACUGAAAAACCUUCAGGCAGAAGGACUUACGACUCUUGGCCAAUCCCUAAGGACAGCUUUUGAUUUGUUAAAUUUAAAUAGAUUAGUAACUGGCAUAGACAACUAUGGGCAGGGAAGAAACCCUUUUUUCUUGGAGCCAGCAAUAAUUAUUACAAUCACUGAUGGAG